RNAcentral lists this ribosomal RNA (406 nucleotides) under uncultured bacterium. Its description in RNAcentral is "partial 16S ribosomal RNA". It matches the Rfam family "Bacterial small subunit ribosomal RNA", at positions 49 to 526 of the family's 1533-position model. The record is from RNAcentral.
AUACACAUCUCCGAGCCGGCGAGACGCUACGCAAUCGCGUAAGCGGCGGACGGGUGAGUAAUGUCUGGGAAACUGCCUGAUGGAGGGGGAUAACUACUGGAAACGGUAGCUAAUACCGCAUACCAUCAGAUGUGCCCAGAUGGGAUUAGCUAGUAGGUGUGGUAAUGGCUCAACUAGGCGACGAUCCCUAGCUGGUCUGAGAGGAUGACCCGACAAGAGGGAAAUGAGAAACGGUCAAGACUACUAAGGGAGGGAGCAGUGGGGAAGAUUGAACAAGGGGCGCAAGCCUGAUGAAGCCAUGCCGGGGGUGUGAAUAAGGCAUUCGGGGUGUAAAGCACUUUCAGCGGGGAGGCGUUACCCGCAGAAGAAGCACCGGCUAACGCCGUGCCAGAAGCCGCGGUAAUAC